RNAcentral lists this ribosomal RNA (271 nucleotides) under uncultured Peredibacter sp. RNAcentral's name for it is "partial 16S ribosomal RNA". It matches the Rfam family "Bacterial small subunit ribosomal RNA", at positions 595 to 864 of the family's 1533-position model. The record is from RNAcentral. Lineage: Bacteria; Pseudomonadati; Bdellovibrionota; Bacteriovoracia; Bacteriovoracales; Bacteriovoracaceae.
UGAAAUCUCGAGGCUCAACCUCGAAACUGCGUCUGAAACUGCUAGUCUAGAAUGUCGGAGGGGAUAGGGGAAUUUCACGUGUAGGGGUAAAAUCCGUAGAGAUGUGAAGGAACACCGGAGGCGAAGGCGCCUAUCUGGACGACUAUUGACGCUGAGGCUCGAAAGCGUGGGGAGCAAACAGGAUUAGAUACCCUGGUAGUCCACGCCGUAAACGAUGAACACUAGUUAUUGGGGGUAUUGACUCCCUCAGUGACGCAGCUAACGCAUUAAG